This is a non-coding RNA of Micromonospora cremea, 73 nucleotides long. Lineage: Bacteria; Bacillati; Actinomycetota; Actinomycetes; Micromonosporales; Micromonosporaceae. The record is from Rfam.
GGCCCCGUCGUCUAGUGGCCCAGGACGCCGCCCUCUCAAGGCGGUAGCGCCGGUUCGAAUCCGGUCGGGGCUA